This 351-nucleotide ribosomal RNA is filed under the name uncultured bacterium. RNAcentral describes it as "partial 16S ribosomal RNA". It matches the Rfam family "Bacterial small subunit ribosomal RNA", at positions 338 to 682 of the family's 1533-position model. The record is from RNAcentral.
CCUACGGGUGGCAGCAGUAGGGAAUGUUCGUCAAUGGGCGCAAGCCUGAACGAGCAAUGCCGCGUGAACGAGGAAGGUCUUCGGAUCGUAAAGUUCUGUUGAAGGGGAAAAAGAGCGGAGAGAGGAAAUGGUCUCCGAUUGAUAUUACCCUUCGAGGAAGUCACGGCCAACUACGUGCCAGCAGCCGCGGUAAUACGGGGGUGGCGAGCGUUAUCCGGAAUGAUUGGGCGUAAGGGGUGCGUAGGCGGCCUGCUAAGUCUGGGGUGAAAGGUACCGGCUCAACCGGUACAGGGUCUGGAAACUGGCGGGCUAGAGCGCAGGAGAGGGCGGUGGAACUCCAUGUGUAGCGGU